RNAcentral lists this ribosomal RNA (419 nucleotides) under bacterium. Its description in RNAcentral is "partial 16S ribosomal RNA". It matches the Rfam family "Bacterial small subunit ribosomal RNA", at positions 355 to 776 of the family's 1533-position model. The record is from RNAcentral.
UGGGGGAUAUUGCACAAUGGGCGAAAGCCUGAUGCAGCGACGCCGCGUGGGGGAUGAAGGCCUUCGGGUUGUAAACUUCUUUUGCUCUGAACAAGGCGCACCAUGGGGUGUGUUGAGUGUAGGGGUUGAUUAGCGCCGGCUAACUACGUGCCAGCAGCCGCGGUAAUACGUAGGGCGCGAGCGUUGUCCGGAAUUAUUGGGCGUAAAGGGCUUGUAGGUGGCUGGUUGCGUCUGUCGUGAAAGCUCAUGGCUUAACUGUGGGUUUGCGGUGGGUACGGGCUGGCUUGAGUGCAGUAGGGGAGGCUGGAAUUCCUGGUGUAGCGGUGGAAUGCGCAGAUAUCAGGAGGAAUACCAGUGGCGAAGGCGGGUCUCUGGGCUGUUACUGACACUGAGGAGCGAAAGCAUGGGGAGCGAACAGG